Long non-coding RNA from Tympanuchus pallidicinctus (lesser prairie-chicken), 1380 nucleotides. RefSeq lists it as uncharacterized. NCBI's taxonomy places the organism in Eukaryota, Metazoa, Chordata, Aves, Galliformes, Phasianidae. The record is from RefSeq and is a predicted model, not a curated record. The transcript is spliced from 4 exons.
AUGAGCUACAAUCAUGGGGAGUGCCCUGGAAAUAAAGAUUUGGGGGCAUCACAGGGCAAGAACUGAAAUCAGUCGGUGUGAGCUGACAGAGCGGAGCUGUACGAUGCUGGAGCACAACCCCAGUGUGCAGUGCUGGACUGAAACGGACAAGGAGCUGAGAAUAAAGAUGUUGUGGGAAACAGGGCAAGAGCUGAAAUCACUGGUGUGAGAUUGUGAUUAACGUCUGGGGGAAAUAGGGCAAGACAUGAGUCGGGCUAUGGGAUCCUUGGGGGCCACAGGGCAAAGUGGAAAUCACUGCGUAUGAGCUGGUAAUGCAGAGCUGCUGCUGGAACCCACAGCACGGGACAGAGAUGUGUCCAGCAGGCAGAGCUGCGUGCAGCCACAACACCUUGUGUGCAGCGUGCAGUGCUGCGAGCUGAAACAAGGAGCUGAGAAUAAAGAUGUGAGCAGAAAGGCAAGAGCUGAAAUCACUGGUGUGAGCUUCCUAUAAGGUUUUGUGGGCAAAUAUUGCAAGAGCUGAAAUCGUGGGGCAUAAGGUGGAAAUCAAGCCUCAUGGGGACAAAAAGGGAGGCAAUGAAAGAACAGAAUAUGCGUUCAAAACAAAAAUUGAGGCGGGAAACAGAGCAUGUGGUAACAGUGCAGAGCUGCUGCUGGAACCCACAGCAUGGUGUGAGGGUGUGUUGGAGAGGCUGAGCUGCACAAAGCCAGGGCAUCUCACUGGAGUGCAGUGCUGGAGCUGAAGCUGACAAGGAGCUGAGAAUAAAGAUGUUGUGGGAAACAGGGCAAGAGCUGAAAUCACUGGUGUGAGUUUGUUACAGAGCCUGGAGCUCGCUGAAAUCGAAUGAGAGUCCUUAUUGUGGGGUGUGAGAUGGAAAUCAAGAUUUGAGGGGGGGAAUCAGAGAUCAAGGUUUGAAAUCCGUGGGUAUGAGCUGACAGUGCAGAGCUGCUGCAGGAACUGACAGCUCAGGGCAUGGAGGUGUGUGAGCAGAGCUGUGCAAUGCUGGAGCACACCCACAGUGUGCUGGGGCUGAUGGAGCAGAGCUGGAGCUGAAGCAGACAAGGAGCUGAGAAUAAAGAUCUUGUGGCAACGGGGCAAGAGCUGAAAUCACUGGUGUCCGUUUAUUACAAUUCUUCAUUGGGGGAAAUAGGGCGAGACAUGGGUUGCAAAUGAGGAUCUGUGAGGGGACACAGGGCAAGGGCUGAAAUCAGUGUGUAUGAGCUGGUAACGCAGAGCUGCUGCUGGAACCCAGGCACAGGGGUGAAGCUGUGUGAGUGAGGCAGAGCUGUGCAGUGCUGGAGCUGAAUGAGAGCAGGAGCUGAGAAUAAAGAUGUGAGCAGAAUCCACAAGAGCUGAAAUCACUGGUGUGAGUUUAUUAUAAA